This 138-nucleotide ribosomal RNA is filed under the name Propithecus coquereli (Coquerel's sifaka). Lineage: Eukaryota; Metazoa; Chordata; Mammalia; Primates; Indriidae. The record is from RNAcentral.
GUCUAUGGCCAUACCGCCCUGAAUGUGUCUGAUCUUGUCUGAUCUUGGAAGCUAAGCAGGGUCGGGCCUGGUUAGCGCUUGGAUGAGAGAAGAGGUCCACUGUGAUCCCUUCCUCGUCUACCAGGGUGGUCACAGAAA